This 272-nucleotide long non-coding RNA is filed under the name Ananas comosus (pineapple). Its description in RNAcentral is "long non-coding RNA (ACOM_LNC001892)". The record is from RNAcentral. Lineage: Eukaryota; Viridiplantae; Streptophyta; Magnoliopsida; Poales; Bromeliaceae.
AUUCCAUCCGACGGCCCUAUUCUUUUUGUCUCUUUUAUUUUCUUCUUCCCUAUGCUUCCCUUUUUCUCUCUUCUUCCUUCGCUUUUCUUUCUGCUUCAUCUUCGCCUAAGAAUCCCUUUCUCCCUUCGUCUUCUAUUUCUUCUUUCGUCUUCUCUAAUGGCUCUACUUCCUCCUUUUCUUCUUCUCCAUCUCUCGAUUACACUUUACUUAGACAAUAUAUUGGGUCGGACCCUUCUCAAUUUAUUUUAGGUCCCUCGUUUAUAGAUGACCCU